This is a long non-coding RNA of Coregonus clupeaformis (lake whitefish), 309 nucleotides long. RefSeq lists it as uncharacterized. The record is from RefSeq and is a predicted model, not a curated record. The transcript has 3 exons. NCBI's taxonomy places the organism in Eukaryota, Metazoa, Chordata, Actinopteri, Salmoniformes, Salmonidae.
GUUAUGCAGAGCUAAUGGAUGUGGCUGCAGCAAUUUACACCUGUGCAAGUUCUACCUGUAUGGAACAUGUCCAUCCAAUGAGAGACAAGGAUGCCGUCUCUGCCAUGAGCUGACAUCAGAGCACAACAUCUGAGUCCUGAGAGAGCAUCACCUGGAGGAACUGGACAGGAAGGAGCUGUGUACAUUACUGUUGCAGAAUGACAACGCCCUUAUACCCCCAGUUUGCUUCACAUACAACAAAGGUAGUGGAGAGUAUGGCUACUGUCCUGACAAGGAGAGCUGCAGAAGACCCUCUGCUGCAGGCUGUUG